GACGAACCGAGCGAACGUUGUUCGGAAUCACUGGGCUUAAAGGGCGCGUAGGCGGGCUGACGCGUCCGGGGUGAAAUCCUCCGGCUCAACCGGAGAACGGCCCCGGGUACGGGCGGCCUCGAGGGGGGUAGGGGCGGGCGGAACUGUGGGUGGAGCGGUGAAAUGCGUUGAUAUCCACAGGAACUCCGGUGGCGAAGGCGGCCCGCUGGACCCCAUCUGACGCUGAGGCGCGAAAGCCAGGGGAGCGAACGGG
RNAcentral lists this ribosomal RNA (253 nucleotides) under uncultured bacterium. RNAcentral describes it as "partial 16S ribosomal RNA". It matches the Rfam family "Bacterial small subunit ribosomal RNA", at positions 524 to 776 of the family's 1533-position model. The record is from RNAcentral.